AUUGAACGCUGGCGGCACGCCUAACACAUGCAAGUCGAACGGCAGCAGCAGAGCUUGCUCUGGCUGGCGAGUGGCGGACGGGUGAGUAACGCGUAGGGAUCUGCCUUCUGGCGGGGACAACUCGGGGAAACUCGAGCUAAUACCGCAUAGUCUCUUCGGAGUAAAGCUAGGUACUUGUAUCUGGCACCAGAAGAUGAACCUACGUUGGAUUAGCUAGUUGGUGGGGUAACGGCCUACCAAGGCGACGAUCCAUAGCUGGUUUGAGAGGAUGAUCAGCCACACUGGGACUGAGACACGGCCCAGACUCCUACGGGAGGCAGCAGUGGGGAAUAUUGGACAAUGGGGGCAACCCUGAUCCAGCGAUGCCGCGUGUGUGAAGAAGGCCUGAGGGUUGUAAAGCACUUUUAGUGAGUGAGGAAGUGUAGGAGAUUAAGAGUCACC
RNAcentral lists this ribosomal RNA (441 nucleotides) under uncultured bacterium. RNAcentral's name for it is "bacterial SSU rRNA". It matches the Rfam family "Bacterial small subunit ribosomal RNA", at positions 30 to 473 of the family's 1533-position model. The record is from RNAcentral.